Molecule: non-coding RNA, 281 nt
Organism: Mesocricetus auratus (golden hamster)
Lineage: Eukaryota; Metazoa; Chordata; Mammalia; Rodentia; Cricetidae
Source: Rfam
GAAUGUGAGGAAGAACUGUCUGCAACAUAUGUCCCCCGAUUGAUUGACAGGGUUGAUUUUGUUUAUCUGUUUUGCUAGGCAACAUCUUCUUUCACCAUUCCAUAUUUGCCCCCCCCCAAAAGAUUCACACUUGGUUGGAAAAAAUACUUUCUACGAAUCAUGGAGGACUUGUCUUUGUUCAAAGGAAUACGAAUAACUGUGUUUCACUGAUACAAUUUCCAAACAAGUUUUCAAUGUUCAAAAUCUUUAUUUGGGUUUUGAUUGAGUUUAUGUCUUUGUUC